UACGUAGGGGGCAGGCGUUAAUCGGAAUUACUGGGCGUAAAGCGUGCGCAGGCGGUCUCCUAAGUCAGAUGUGAAAUCCCCGGGCUUAACCUGGGAACUGCGUUUGAAACUGGGAGGCUAGAGUGCGGCAGAGGGGGGUGGAAUUCCACGUGUAGCAGUGAAAUGCGUAGAUAUGUGGAGGAACACCGAUGGCGAAGGCAGCCCCCUGGGCCUGCACUGACGAUCAUGCACGAAAGCGUGGGGAGCAAACAGG
RNAcentral lists this ribosomal RNA (253 nucleotides) under uncultured bacterium. RNAcentral's name for it is "partial 16S ribosomal RNA". It matches the Rfam family "Bacterial small subunit ribosomal RNA", at positions 524 to 776 of the family's 1533-position model. The record is from RNAcentral.